AUUUUAAUCACCUAGGGAUCUUGUUAAAAUGCAGAUUCUGAUUCAUGGGCCUGAGAUUCUGCAUUUUUAGCAAGCUCCCAAGUGAUGCUGAU
This is a microRNA precursor of Procavia capensis (Cape rock hyrax), 92 nucleotides long. Ensembl annotates it as microRNA 544a. Its record names the gene MIR544A. The record is from Ensembl. NCBI's taxonomy places the organism in Eukaryota, Metazoa, Chordata, Mammalia, Hyracoidea, Procaviidae.